GACGAACGCUGGCGGCGUGCUUAACACAUGCAAGUCGAACGGAAAGGCCCUGCUUUUGUGGGGUGCUCGAGUGGCGAACGGGUGAGUAGCACGUGAGUAACCUGCCCUUGACUUUGGGAUAACUUCAGGAAACUGGGGCUAAUACCGGAUAGGAGCUCCUGCUGCAUGGUGGGGGGUGGAAAGUUUCGGCGGUUGGGGAUGGACUCGCGGCUUAUCAGCUUGUUGGUGGGGUAGUGGCUUACCAAGGCUUUGACGGGUAGCCGGCCUGAGAGGGUGACCGGCCACAUUGGGACUGAGAUACGGCCCAGACUCCUACGGGAGGCAGCAGUGGGGAAUAUUGCACAAUGGGCGGAAGCCUGAUGCAGCAACGCCGCGUGCGGGAUGACGGCCUUCGGGUUGUAAACCGCUUUCGCCUGUGACGAAGCGUGAGUGACGGUAAUGGGUAAAGAAGCACCGGCUAACUACGUG
This 468-nucleotide ribosomal RNA is filed under the name uncultured bacterium. Its description in RNAcentral is "partial 16S ribosomal RNA". It matches the Rfam family "Bacterial small subunit ribosomal RNA", at positions 28 to 507 of the family's 1533-position model. The record is from RNAcentral.